This 20-nucleotide non-coding RNA is filed under the name Arabidopsis thaliana (thale cress). The record is from RNAcentral. Lineage: Eukaryota; Viridiplantae; Streptophyta; Magnoliopsida; Brassicales; Brassicaceae.
UGGUAGACACGCUGCUCUUA